RNAcentral lists this transfer RNA (74 nucleotides) under bacterium. Its description in RNAcentral is "tRNA-Asp". It matches the Rfam family "tRNA". From Rfam's summary of the family: Transfer RNA (tRNA) molecules are approximately 80 nucleotides in length. The record is from RNAcentral.
GCGGGUGUAGCUCAGCUGGUUAGAGCGCUCCCCUGUCACGGGAGAGGUCGCCGGUUCAAAUCCGGUCACUCGCG